UUACACUAUGAUUUUUAUUUUCAUGUAAAACUGAUGGAAUGGCAGGUAUAAAAGCUGAUUAUAAGACCAAACACCUAGCUCUUAAAACAAAAUUUUCUAAAUCCAUAUCUAACCGUAGAGAAACCUGAAGACCAAAUUUAAUUCCAUUAGGUCUUUUAAAUUUCUGCUGUUGAUCUUGUGCAGAGUCACCCAGCUUUAACUUGUUUGACGUGUGCUGUGUCUCAGUCAGGUUUUUCACUGUACUAUGCUUGCAGGGCUUGGACUCAGCCUACAUUCCAUGUAUCUCAGCAUUGCUCUGCUAACGUCAGCAGAACAUCUUCAGAUGAUACUGACUGAGAGUCUAGCCCAGGUUGAAAUUCUUGAGUAAACAUUUUUCAAGAAACACAGCAGAUGAUGUACGUGAAUAACAUUUAGAAUAAUAUAUACAUUGCAUGCAUACAUAUCUAUGUAUGUAAAACAGCCUUUCAAAACUGUUUAUUCUGUGUGGUGCCACAUGUGUAAUUGUCUGCAGUUCUUAGUUGUGUUUUGGGAUCGAAGAGCUUAAAGCUUAACUCACAAGACUGCUAAUUACUUAGGGCAUCCUACUUCUGUCAAAUAUAUUUGUAUAACAUAGUAACCUUUAGUUAAUACUUAAUUUCUUAAUUCAACUGAAAUUUAAUAUGAUACUAAUUUCUUUUUUGCUAUCUAGCUAAUGAAAUAAUGAAGUUAAAUGUUAAAAUUAAUUGCACAGUAGUAUUUUGGUUAUACUGAAUCUCUUAUAGAUUUAGAGACAUUCAUAUUUUUUCUCUCAGUGAUAGCCUGUGUCAUUUUUGCCAUUAAAUAAGCUUCUUGAUAUUUUUUUGGGGAGCUAAAAAUUUGUGGUUGGUAGUUUGAGGCACAGCUUCACAGAGGACUUUACAUCUCUCAAUUUAAAGCACAUUGCAUUGCCCACCUCUAUCUUCUCAAGUGGAUUGCAAAAUGAUUUAAUCUUAGUAAUUGUAGAAAUGUUGGAUUGAUGAUUAUUAAGGAAAGAAUUUGCCUUGCAGUCAAGUCUGUUAAUAUUUUCUGACUUUUGCAUUUGUAUUGGCAUAAAAACAGUUUCUUACACAGAAGAAUUGACAGAUAGGGCUUAAAUCCCAAUUUAGGAAAUACUUGAAGAGUCAGAAGAGUUAGUCGAAACAGGCGAGAAAAACAGGAAACCAUUUUUUUUUGAAUCUGGGAGCAAGAAUCUUUAUGAUUUAAUGAUAAUUUGAUUAAUGUGAGUUGUGAUUCUGCUGUAACUGUAAUUUAUUCUUUCAAAGUUUGCUGUUUUAGAGAGUCUUUAGGACUUUUUAGGAAAACUAAAUAAAAGCUUAUUAAUACUUCAUCUAAGUUUUGAGCAUAAUUGGUAUCUAAUUUAGUAAAUUAUAGUGAUAUAAUGGUAAAUCAGAAAUGGGUAAACUCAAACAUUCUGUGAGAGGCAUGAGCACUCAGUUGACAGAAAUAGAAGUGGAUAUAUUCAGUUGCAUCUAUUCAUAACUGUAGAAUAAAUAAACAUAGCUCCCCCUGAAGCUUGGCUCCAUGCUAAAAAAUGACUCAGUAAAAUUGGCAACUUUGACUACUUUCUUUAAUGGCAAUAUUAUUUUACUCCAGUUAUGGUUGCUAACUGGUAUAUCCAUGAAAGAUAGAGCAGAAUCACUUCAUGAUGCUAUUUCAGACAUAAAAGUAAGAGCCAAAUUGUAUUGCUAAUGACUGGUAUAACCGUAGCCAGAACAAUAAGUGAGGGAGCAUGAUUCAUUUUGCAAGCACACUUGGUUAACAGUGUUGAUUUUGCACAUUCAUUCCUAUUGCACAGAGAUCUGAGUGAAACCAAAGCCAGAUUUAUUACAUCUGCUGAGGUCUAGGAGGAGAAUAUGGCACAGGAUGACUUAGUUAUUACAGAUUUCAAAAAAAGCUUCAGAUUUCAAGCUUGCUUCCUGUUUAGACACCUACACAACAGGAGCUGCUGGGGGCCAGGAUGUGUGAUGUCUGUCAUUUAUUUGGUUGUUUAAACCACAGCUCUGGUCUUCUGACUAUCUAGUGCAGCAUGGUGUUGGACAAACAGUCU
Oxyura jamaicensis (ruddy duck) is the source of this 2065-nucleotide long non-coding RNA. RefSeq lists it as uncharacterized. The transcript is spliced from 2 exons. The record is from RefSeq and is a predicted model, not a curated record. Lineage: Eukaryota; Metazoa; Chordata; Aves; Anseriformes; Anatidae.